UGUGUGUGUGUGUGUGUGUGUAUCUAUAUAUAUAUAUAUAUAUAUAUAUAUAGAUACACACACACACACACACACA
Molecule: non-coding RNA, 76 nt
Organism: Pelobates cultripes (western spadefoot toad)
Lineage: Eukaryota; Metazoa; Chordata; Amphibia; Anura; Pelobatidae
Source: the annotation of a GenBank genome assembly